RNAcentral lists this ribosomal RNA (433 nucleotides) under uncultured bacterium. RNAcentral describes it as "partial 16S ribosomal RNA". It matches the Rfam family "Bacterial small subunit ribosomal RNA", at positions 29 to 507 of the family's 1533-position model. The record is from RNAcentral.
AGCGAACGCUGGCGGCAGGCCUAACACAUGCAAGUCGAACGAACUCUUCGGAGUUAGUGGCGGACGGGUGAGUAACACGUGGGAACGUGCCUUUUGGUUCGGAAUAACUCAGGGAAACUUGUGCUAAUACCGAAUGUGCCCUUCGGGGGAAAGAUUUAUCGCCAUUAGAGCGGCCCGCGUCGGAUUAGCUAGUUGGUGAGGUAACGGCUGACCAAGGCGUCGAUCAGUAGCUGGUCUGAGAGGAUGACCAGCCACACUGGGACUGAGACACGGCCCAGCCUCCGACGGGAGGGAGCAGUGGGGAGUCUUGCGCAAUGGGCGAAAGCCUGACGCAGCCAUGCCGCGUGAAUGAUGAAGGUCUUAGGAUUGUAAAAUUCUUUCACCGGGGACGAUAAUGACGGUACCCGGAGAAGAAGCCCCGGCUAACUUCGUG